This is a non-coding RNA of Equus caballus (horse), 5029 nucleotides long. The record is from RefSeq and is a predicted model, not a curated record. NCBI's taxonomy places the organism in Eukaryota, Metazoa, Chordata, Mammalia, Perissodactyla, Equidae.
GGGAGAGAAAAGAAAAGUAGAGAUGUUUUUAGCCCUGGGUUAAAGGACCACAGACGUCAGGGAAUGUCGCUCAUGGGUAUCCUAUUUCAUCUACGUGACGUGGGCCCCUCACGCUCUGAUGCAGAGAGAAGAGGGAAAGGAGGGAAGAGACCCAGGGUGGUCCUUCCUACUCAAAGAUGCUCAAUUUGGGAAAUCUUGGUUUGACGCCUUUGGAACCAACGUCAGGCCAAACCUUAUGGCUCCAGCUUCUUCUUGAAAGGGGGCACUCUGAGGACGACAGCACGCCAAGGGAGUGGGUGCCGGGCAGAGUGAGGGAGGGGACAGCGUCACAGAUGGAGACUGAGUUCUGGGGCUGGCCCUGACCCUCAGCACCGCAGGGGAAUCCCCUUGUGAGGGAGUCGGGCCCGUUCCAGCUAAGGGGACAUCUCUGGCUCUGCUGGGCGACGUGGCUAAGCUGGGGUGGUCCACAGGUCCCCCGAGUCUCAGUCAGAAGUGCUAUGACAGGUCCAGUGCAAAGGCUGCUCCCGCCCCAGGCGACUGGUCAGGACGCUCGGAGCGCUCGUCCUGGGCAAUGGAGAGCUGUGCCUGUGGAGCUGUCCCUCGGCCGUGCCCAGAGCCAGGCGAAGGCUCUCAAAAGCAAAGCGGGGCACCGGCAUUGCAGAACUGUGUGUGCUUCUCCCCGACAGUUCCUGCCUCUUGCCAAGCCGUGCCACCCACAGGCGGGGAAGCUGAUGGGGCCCAGGCCUCCUGGGCCCGGCUGGCGCUCCAGUGUGGCCAGAGAGCUGCCCACAACAUGAAGGGCAGAGCGUCCGGGCGCCGUGGGGAGCCGGCCCCAGUCUCCGUCUCUCCUCUGCCCUCUCUCUGAGAGACACUAUAGAUUCACGCUGUCCAACACGGCAGCCGCUACUCCCGUGAGAGUACUCACAUCUAAAACUUACACCAAAAUUAAAUCAAAUUUAAAAUUCACUUCCUCAGCGACACUAGCCACAUUUCAAGCCUCAAUAGCCACUCGUGGGUAGCGGCCACCACAUCGGACAGCGCAGAUCUAAACCACGCCCGUCAUCACAGGCUGCUCUAUCAGACGGCACCCGUGUGGCCUCUGUGGUCACACUGACCUGCGUUUGGUUCCCACCUCUGCCGCUUACUUGCUGUGUGCCUUUGGGCAAGUUAGUUCACCUCUCUCUGCCUUCGUUUCCUCACUGCUAAAGCGCUCAGCCAGUGUCGGGCAUGUGGUGAAUACCAACCAACAGUCGUGAACACCACGACCCAACUCUGCCACCCACCGAGGGCUCAGGUGCCUCCAGCCUCGAGCCACCCAUUUAGUCAUCCAGCCACGCCUCAUUCCACCAACGUGCACGGAGUCCCCACCAUACAGCAGGCCCUGUGCCAGGUGACGGGGCUGCAAACCCCAGCCAAGUAGGACCCCUGCCCUCCAAAAGCCCUGUCAGAUGGGGACAACGACAAGAGAGUGGACAAUUACAAGCCUGAGUGACAAGUGCUAGGCGGGGCUGGGCCUUGAGUGUCACAGGCCCUCCUCAGACUAACCCACUUGGGCUUUUGACUCUGAUGUCGUCGGAUUCAGUCCCAACAUCAGGCCAUGCGAUCCUGCCCUCAAUUAUGGACCAUCACCUCCUCGUCUCAGCCUGCUCGUUCAUGUGGCUGGUCUCCCCACGGGGCUGGGCUUCCCUCAUGGCUCCCAACUACCCGUCCUUGUCACAUGCACACAACACCAGCUUAGGUCCAUUUUCUAUGCAGCAAUGGCACCCCAGUGGCCCCCCCGGGAGGACUGACAAGGAGCGUGAGACAGCCCUAAUGCAGGAGGGAAAGAGGACGGGCCCAGAAGACAGAGUGGCUGUGCAUUUCAGGACCUGCCCUGCCCAUGUGUCCCACUAGCCCGGGUCUCCUCCGGCUCCCCGCGUCCUCUCCAGCCCUCACUCGGGUCACUGGCUCGUCUAGAAGGCUCUAUGUCUGUGUGCAGGUGUGUGGUGUGAAUUCCGCCUCCCUAUCAGACUUGAAGCUCCUUCAAGAGAAGCAGGGAGACAUCCUAUGGGAAGCAACCUCCUCACAAGAAAGAAGUGGGCCCCUUCCCCAGACCCGGCAACCCCAGGCUCCUCCAGGGCCCAGGAGAGGGGCCGGGUGGAGUGGGGAGCAGGGGUCCAGGUGGGAAGGCCCGGGACAGCCCCAGGGCAGGAGGUGGGCUCUGAUCUGUGUGCUGACCGCAGCCCUGAGCGCUGUUUGUCCAGCUGAAGCUCCUGAUCCUGCUGCCUUUAUGUCACUGGAUAAAGAGGCAGGCAGGGUGUGUCUGGGGCGGAAACCCGAGAAAGGGCCCUCUAUUCGGUCACCCCCACACCCACGUCCAGAUGUAAGCUCUCCUCCUGCUUCAGGCUGCCCUCCUCCUCGUGCCAUCCCAGCAACUCCUCUCACCACCACUGACACACAUGGAGGGACCCCCACUCGCCACCCACGCCCACCCCGGCUAGGGCAGCACCAGGACCCCCAGACACAUGGCUUUCUAAAUUGCACCGGGUCCCAGUCUCAACUGGAGUCUAGUGGGAAAGAGCAGAGGCUGGGAGUUCAGAGCACGUAAUAAGAGCCACCUUUGCCAGGGCAGACACUGCUGAAGGCUUUGCAGACCCAGCUUACAGGAGAGGCUCAGCAAAACUAAGGUCCCUCUGAAGCCAACGUCCCAGGGGGUGUCCAACCCAUCUCUCUGCCCCCCGUUCGCCUCCUUUGGAGUGCCUUCUACCGUUAUCGAGAUCUGGGGCAUCCUGGUCUCUUUUAAUCUUUUUAUCAGGUCGGGGAAUGAAGGGUUAUUUAUUUCCAUUUUAAGUAAAGAAACUGGGACUCGCAAACAUGCUACCUCACAUCCCAACCUCCCCCGGGCGGGUUCUGUUGAAACAGCCGCACAACAAACGAAACAGUAGCUCCAACCCCGGACCCCGCAGUACCCUUGUGUGCAGAGCCGCUCUGAACCCUGGAGGAGGUGUGUGUGCCUCGUACAGGAGGAAGGCAGGAGGAGCCAUGCCCUGCCCUGAGGAAGCCGCCAUCCAGGAUCCAGCAGAACCACAGACAUGGUUGGACAGAGCCUUGAGCCUUUGUGCUGGAGGACUUUCAAGUGCCUCAGGGCCAGGAUACAGUCCGGAGGGCUUCCUGGAGGAAGCCUGGCCUGCAGUGCCAAGAGGGACAGGUUUAGCCAUCUGGAAGUGGCCUUUGCAAAGAGGAAUGGAGCUGGGGUGCUUAGGAUGGCAGUGAGGAAUGGCGUAAUAGGCCAAAUGGUGGCCCCCAAAAGCCAUGUCCCUGGAACCUGGUAACACGAGCUUACUUGGGAAAAGGGUCUCAGCUGUGAUUAAGUGAAAGAUCUUGAAAUGAGGAGAGCAUCUUGGAUUAUUCAGGCAGGCCCUAAAUCCCAUGACAGGUGUCCUUAUGAGAGAGCCACCUGGAGAAGAUGGUGACAUGGAGACGAAGGCAGAGAUUGGAGUGACGCGGCCACAGCCCAGGAAGACGGCAACCCCAGGAGUUAGGAGAGGCGGGCAGGGGGGCCUCCCCUCGAGCCUCAUGGUGAUGCGGCCCUGCCGACGCCUGGAUCCGGGCUCCUGGCCUCCAGAACCAGGAGAGAAUCAGCCUCUGUUGUAAGCCUCCUGGUUCGUGGUACUUUAUUACAGGAGCCGCUGGAAACUAUACGGUAAGCAGUCAGAGGGUCUCAGUAGACUGCCGGUCCUCGCGGCCACGCUGUGGGACCCCCUGCCCUCUCCCGCUCCUCCCCCUCCACCAUUGACCUCCCUCCUGAGGCCUCAGACCAAGCCGACGACCCUUCCACACCUCACCUAGGAAGGUCAUUCCCACCCUCCAGACUCCUCCUGGACCUACCACGACCCAGCAAUUCACUCCUGGGUACGAAACCGACAGAAACGCAUCCACGCACUCGCCAACGGCUGUACAAACCGCCCCCCGCAGCGCCGCCGGCCCACCCCAAACCAGAGGGUGUCCGGCGCCCAUCAACAGCGGGGUGGAUGAGCUGCGCUGUGUUCUCCCACAGUGAACACCUCGCAGCAGUGGGACCGAAUGAGCCGCGCCUGUGGCCAUCACGUGGACGGAUCUUCAAACACAGCCAGACACGAAAUAGGGCUCCGUUUAUAUGAAAUUCAAAACACAGGGCACAAUGCACCUGAGCCAUCAGAAAUCACGGGACUGGUUGCCCUGGUGGGGGUGGGUGGUGACGGGCAGGAGGGGCGGCCGGUGGAGAACUCUAGAAAGCUGCUGACAUUCUGUUUCUUGGUCUGGGGCUGGUUGUGCCAGUGUGGUCAGCUUGUGGAAAUUUGUCAGGCUAUACCCUGUGAUAGGUACCCUUUCCUGUGACGUAGAUCAUACUUAAAUAAAAGUUAGUUAAAAAAAAAAAAAAGACUCAUUCUGAUAGUCUCCCAUGAGCCUCGAGCUGCCUAAGGGUCCCCUCUAGAUUCCCACGGCAUCUCGUGAAUCCUUCUCAGCCUCCACCUUCUUGAAUUGAAGCUGGAUGUUUGUUUCUGUGGUUUGUUUUCUCGUCUCCCUCCUCUGUGCAUCCCUCGCACCUUGCAUGGGCUCUGGCACACAGCAGGUGCUCCAUAAAUGCUUGCUGAGACUUGCUGGCAUGGCCAAGGGCUUUGGUGUCCUCAGGCUUCCCUCCCAGACUUCCCUGGUCAUCUAUCCGUGUGCCCUACAUGGUCACAGGACUCCACAGUGGGACACACUCCCCAACCUCCUGCUCCCCACUCCUCUGGGUGCAUACCUCCACCCCAGACUCAUGGGGUGGUAGCUCUCCGACCCACCGCCCCGAGACCUUUCUUUGCACAGACCACAGGUCUUAUUCAUCUUGAACCUUCAGAGCCCAGGCAAGUGCCAGACAGCGUGGAGGUUCCAGAACCAGCAGCCUCGAGCGGCCAGAGCCCUGAUGCAUCCGCGCCCAGGGGCAGGCACAUACCUCUGUUCGUCUUAGCUUGUUUCAGACUGGAUGGAAAUUUUCAAAAGAGGUUUUCUUUAAAAAAAAAAAAAAAAA